Molecule: transfer RNA, 71 nt
Filed under: Clonostachys rosea f. rosea IK726
Lineage: Eukaryota; Fungi; Ascomycota; Sordariomycetes; Hypocreales; Bionectriaceae
Rfam family: tRNA
About the family: Transfer RNA (tRNA) molecules are approximately 80 nucleotides in length.
Source: RNAcentral
GCUCUGUAGCGCAGUGGUCGCGCCCUCCAAUUGUGCAGGAGACGACCUCGGUUCGAAUCCGAGCAGAAGCA